AGACCUAUGAAGGUCGAAGGGGAAGAAAAGCUGUAUCGAUUGUUGAGAUCUGGCGACUUGUUUAAAUUUCAUCAGCCUCACUUCUAUGAACUCUCAGGCCUCACGUGUACCAGCUCUCUGCUCUCCUUUGCCUUGGGACGUUCCAUCCCUGGAAGUUUCCCUGCCCACAUCUUUGUAGAGAGUCCAUUCUCCAAGCUUCAGUGUGUCAUCUGUGAGGACCGUGACCCACCUGGUACAUCGCCUCAGGGCAUUCAUUUCAGGCUCCUUCUAAAUGGCCAAGGAUCUUGGAAGCAGAGGGAUCUGCAGAAGUGCUUGCAACACUUUCAGCCUUAACCAGCAUCAGAGACAAAAAUCCUUUCUGGAAUGAGGCACCCUUGGAAAUGCAAUGCUACAUCUCAAUGGGAUUUUCCAGUACAAAGAUUCUUUUCAAAUAACAUAAUUGUGGAUACACACCACUCCUACAGUGGUAAACCUCAGGUUCUCCUCCUGCCUUUUGCUAAGUAUAUGUCUUGAUGACAAGCCUUCUGCUGAUGAGCUGUGUUUCUGGACCGAUCAUGGUAGAAGUCAAUUAACGUGUCCCUCACUUGGGGUUUCUCAAGGCUGCACUGAUGAGGAAACUGAAACAGAAAAUCCAGAGUAAAUUCCACCAGGCCACACAGCAAGGUCUGAUAGAGCCAGGAGAGACUUUAUGAAAUCCAGACUCUCACACUAAUGCUCUAUCAGCUAGACCUCCAUGUGAGUCUCCCCAAUGUAGGUAGGAAGUGCUUUCCCUAAAAUGCUCAUAAAGCAAAUCAGAGCAAUGCUGCAUUCCAUGUGAUUUCUAAUUUGAAAUGCAAACAAUUGCCAAUUUGUUUGACUUGUAUUUAUAAUUAUUUCCUUGUGAAUUACUCAUCACUAAAUGCUUUAUAAAUAUUUUCUCUUUUUUUCCUCAAUGUCUAUGGAAUGAUCACAGCAUAGAAAAUGUUGGCUUUCAAGGAUUUAUUAAUAUCUCCUUUUGAAAUAACAUGUAUUUGUAAGACAGAAUAAAAUCACUUUAAAGAAACAAA
This 1046-nucleotide long non-coding RNA is filed under the name Homo sapiens (human). RNAcentral's name for it is "testis expressed 41". The record is from RNAcentral. Lineage: Eukaryota; Metazoa; Chordata; Mammalia; Primates; Hominidae.